GACGAACGCUGGCGGCGUGCCUAAUACAUGCAAGUCGAACGAGAGCGACCGGUGCUUGCACUGGUCAAUCUAGUGGCGAACGGGUGAGUAAUACGUGGGUAACCUGCCCAUCAGAGGGGGAUAACAUCCGGAAACGGAUGCUAACACCGCAUAGGUCUUCGAGCCGCAUGGCUUGAAGAGGUAACGAGGCGCAAGCUUCUGCUGAUGGCUGGUUCCGCGGUGCUUUAGCUAGUUGGUGAGGUAACGGCCCACCAAAGCCGUGAUGCAUAGCCGACCUGAGAGGGUGAUCGGCCACAUUGGGACUGAGACACGGCCCAAACUCCUACGGGAGGCAGCAGUAGGGAAUCUUCCGCAAUGGACGCAAGUCUGACAGAGCAACGCCGCGUGAGUGAAGAAGGUUUUCGGAUCUUAAAACUCUGUUGUUAGGGAAGAACAAGUGCUAGAGUAACUGUUAGCGCCUUGACGGUAUCUAACCAGAAAGCCACGGCUAACUACGUG
This 498-nucleotide ribosomal RNA is filed under the name uncultured bacterium. Its description in RNAcentral is "partial 16S ribosomal RNA". It matches the Rfam family "Bacterial small subunit ribosomal RNA", at positions 28 to 507 of the family's 1533-position model. The record is from RNAcentral.